Cinara cedri is the source of this 352-nucleotide non-coding RNA. Lineage: Eukaryota; Metazoa; Arthropoda; Insecta; Hemiptera; Aphididae. The record is from the annotation of a GenBank genome assembly.
GAGCGGAGUUCAGUUGACAGUGAUGCUUUGUCAACAAUGUAUAUGUCAUAUUAUAGUAAUAUAAUUAAAUAGGCCUUAUGUAUUUUCUUUAAUAAUAUUUGUUUAAUGUACCGAUUUUCUCGGUUUUUCUACGUUUCCUGCGUAUUUUCCCGUUUUAGAAAAGUUGCUACACUUAAAAUCGGAACAAGAUUUCUGGCAGAAAAUUUGCGCACAGAUAAAACAAAAUAAAUAAAUAAAAUAAACAUCUGUGUAAAACCAUUGGCUUCUUCGCUUCACUCAGAAUCUAAAAAUGUAACCGUCGAUUGAACAUUUCACCGUCACUGGCGUCAGCUGCGAUUCAUGCACGUGCAAU